AAAUAGAACUUUGCAGAGAGAGUUAAGAGGGCGUGAAACCGUUAAUUGGCAAACGAAUCGGAGCCACGAAGUCGUUUCGCUGAUAAGUUGAGCCGGGCUCAGAAUAAAAGCUAAACACUUUUGUUUGUAUUUCCGUAGUUCAACCUCAAUGUAAACGUACACUGCAACCAGUUAGACAAUUAAAGAUGGGCAUAGUUGCUUAGCGGGCAACUGCUAGGUAACGACAAAAUUGCCUGCUAGAGUUAGUAUCAGCAUGGCGAGGCUUGCUUCGUUUGUGUUGUUGGACUUUCUAGUAUUUGGUGGACUAUCUUUAAAUACUGACUGGCACAAUGAAAAUCGCUUAGGCGUUUUACAAAAAGCAGCUAGCUGCAUUAGAGCCUACAUGCUUGACCAUAGAGUCUAAGCUCAGCAUUUUUAAAUUCAAACUUGCUUGCUACCAGUGGGGCAACUCCUGGUGCUUGUAUUGCUUUGUCUAAUUGGGUGUUGACUUGGCUAUAUGCUGUUUGAGUAUGCUACGAUGGGGUUUUAAUGUAAGUUAACUCGCAAUUGAUUGGCAGUGAGUAGGUCGGCUUUCCGAACGACCCGUCUUGAAACACGGACCAAGGAGUCUAAUUAGGCAUCAGUCGAUCGGUCUUGAUAGGCCAGAUGGGGUGCUUGCACCCCAAUGAAGGCGAAAAGAAAUCAAAUCAUGUGAUCUUUACAGGUUAUAACAACUUGAAGGCGCAACAUGUGCCUGUUCGUAUAACAAUGUAAGCAAUUACUUGUUGGGCGGAGCAAAGAGAUGCCUGAUUGGUACCCGAAAGAUGGUGAACUAUGCCUGGGCAAAUUGAAGCCAGAGGAAACUCUGGUGGAGGAUUGUAGCGAUUCUGACGUGCAAAUCGAUCGUCAGACCUGGGUAUAGGGGCGAAAGACUAAUCGAACCAUC
RNAcentral lists this ribosomal RNA (925 nucleotides) under Notallus sp. 28sd2-5r82. RNAcentral describes it as "eukaryotic LSU rRNA". It matches the Rfam family "Eukaryotic large subunit ribosomal RNA", at positions 366 to 944 of the family's 3401-position model. The record is from RNAcentral. Lineage: Eukaryota; Metazoa; Arthropoda; Arachnida; Trombidiformes; Eriophyidae.